Molecule: ribosomal RNA, 389 nt
Filed under: uncultured bacterium
Lineage: Bacteria
Description: bacterial SSU rRNA
Rfam family: Bacterial small subunit ribosomal RNA
Source: RNAcentral
GACGAACGCUGGCGGCGUGCUUAACACAUGCAAGUCGAACGAUGAAGCCUUUCGGGGUGGGAUUAGUGGCGAACGGGUGAGUAACACGUGGGUAAUCUGCCUUGCACUCUGGGAUAAGCCUGGGAAACUGGGUCUAAUACCGGAUAUGACUACUUCACGCAUGUGGGGUGGUGGAAAGUUCUGGCGGUGUGAGAUGAACCCGCGGCCUAUCAGCUUGUUGGUGGGGUGAUGGCCUACCAAGGCGACAACGGGUAGCCGGCCUGAGAGGGCGACCGGUCACACUGGGACUGAGACACGGCCCAGACUCCUACGGGAGGCAGCAGUGGGGAAUAUUGCACAAUGGGCGAAAGCCUGAUGCAGCGACGCCGCGUGAGGGAUGACGGCCUCGG